CACUAUCGUUAACUGAAUACAUAGGUUAACGAGGCGAACCGGGGGAACUGAAACAUCUAAGUACCUCGAGGAAAAGAAAUCAACCGAGAUUCCCCCAGUAGCGGCGAGCGAACGGGGAGCAGCCCAGAGUCUGAAUCAGCUUGUGUGUUAGUGGAACGGUCUGGAAAGUCCGACGGUACAGGGUGAUAGUCCCGUACACCAAAAUGCACAGGCUGUGAACUCGAAGAGUAGGGCGGGACACGUGGUAUCCUGUCUGAAUAUGGGGGGACCAUCCUCCAAGGCUAAAUACUCCUGACUGACCGAUAGUGAACCAGUACCGUGAGGGAAAGGCGAAAAGAACCCCGGCGAGGGGAGUGAAAAAGAACCUGAAACCGUGUACGUACAAGCAGUGGGAGCACCUUCGGGUGUGACUGCGUACCUUUUGUAUAAUGGGUCAGCGACUUAUAUUCUGUAGCAAGGUUAACCGUAUAGGGGAGCCGCAGGGAAACCGAGUCUUAACUGGGCGUUAAGUUGCAGGGUAUAGACCCGAAACCCGGUGAUCUAGCCAUGGGCAGGUUGAAGGUUGGGUAACACUAACUGGAGGACCGAACCGACUAAUGUUGAAAAAUUAGCGGAUGACUUGUGGCUGGGGGUGAAAGGCCAAUCAAACCGGGAGAUAGCUGGUUCUCCCCGAAAGCUAUUUAGGUAGCGCCUCGUGAAUUCAUCUUCGGGGGUAGAGCACUGUUUCGGCUAGGGGGUCAUCCCGACUUACCAACCCGAUGCAAACUACGAAUACCGAAGAAUGUUAUCACGGGAGACACACGGCGGGUGCUAACGUCCGUCGUGAAGAGGGAAACAACCCAGACCGCCAGCUAAGGUCCCAAAGUCAUGGUUAAGUGGGAAACGAUGUGGGAAGGCACAGACAGCCAGGAUGUUGGCUUAGAAGCAGCCAUCAUUUAAAGAAAGCGUAAUAGCUCACUGGUCGAGUCGGCCUGCGCGGAAGAUGUAACGGGGCUAAACCAUGCACCGAAGCUGCGGCAGCGACACUAUGUGUUGUUGGGUAGGGGAGCGUUCUGUAAGCCUGCGAAGGUGACCUGUGAGGGUUGCUGGAGGUAUCAGAAGUGCGAAUGCUGACAUAAGUAACGAUAAAGCGGGUGAAAAGCCCGCUCGCCGGAAGACCAAGGGUUCCUGUCCAACGUUAAUCGGGGCAGGGUGAGUCGACCCCUAAGGCGAGGCCGAAAGGCGUAGUCGAUGGGAAACAGGUUAAUAUUCCUGUACUUGGUGUUACUGCGAAGGGGGGACGGAGAAGGCUAUGUUAGCCGGGCGACGGUUGUCCCGGUUUAAGCAUGUAGGCUGGUUGUCCAGGCAAAUCCGGAUAAUCAAGGCUGAGGUGUGAUGACGAGGCACUACGGUGCUGAAGUAACAAAUGCCCUGCUUCCAGGAAAAGCCUCUAAGCAUCAGGUAACAUCAAAUCGUACCCCAAACCGACACAGGUGGUCAGGUAGAGAAUACCAAGGCGCUUGAGAGAACUCGGGUGAAGGAACUAGGCAAAAUGGUGCCGUAACUUCGGGAGAAGGCACGCUGGUGUGUAGGUGAAGCCCCUGCGGGUGGAGCUGAGACCAGUCGAAGAUACCAGCUGGCUGCAACUGUUUAUUAAAAACACAGCACUGUGCAAACACGAAAGUGGACGUAUACGGUGUGACGCCUGCCCGGUGCCGGAAGGUUAAUUGAUGGGGUUAUCCGUAAGGAGAAGCUCUUGAUCGAAGCCCCGGUAAACGGCGGCCGUAACUAUAACGGUCCUAAGGUAGCGAAAUUCCUUGUCGGGUAAGUUCCGACCUGCACGAAUGGCGUAAUGAUGGCCAGGCUGUCUCCACCCGAGACUCAGUGAAAUUGAACUCGCUGUGAAGAUGCAGUGUACCCGCGGCAAGACGGAAAGACCCCGUGAACCUUUACUAUAGCUUGACACUGAACAUUGAGCCUUGAUGUGUAGGAUAGGUGGGAGGCUUUGAAGCGUGGACGCCAGUCUGCGUGGAGCCAACCUUGAAAUACCACCCUUUAAUGUUUGAUGUUCUAACGUUGGCCCCUGACCGGGGUUGCGGACAGUGUCUGGUGGGUAGUUUGACUGGGGCGGUCUCCUCCCAAAGCGUAACGGAGGAGCACGAAGGUUAGCUAAUCCUGGUCGGACAUCAGGAGGUUAGUGCAAUGGCAUAAGCUAGCUUGACUGCGAGCGUGACGGCGCGAGCAGGUGCGAAAGCAGGUCAUAGUGAUCCGGUGGUUCUGAAUGGAAGGGCCAUCGCUCAACGGAUAAAAGGUACUCCGGGGAUAACAGGCUGAUACCGCCCAAGAGUUCAUAUCGACGGCGGUGUUUGGCACCUCGAUGUCGGCUCAUCACAUCCUGGGGCUGAAGUAGGUCCCAAGGGUAUGGCUGUUCGCCAUUUAAAGUGGUACGCGAGCUGGGUUUAGAACGUCGUGAGACAGUUCGGUCCCUAUCUGCCGUGGGCGCUGGAGAAUUGAGGGGGGCUGCUCCUAGUACGAGAGGACCGGAGUGGACGCAUCACUGGUGUUCGGGUUGUCAUGCCAAUGGCACUGCCCGGUAGCUAAAUGCGGAAGAGAUAAGUGCUGAAAGCAUCUAAGCACGAAACUUGCCCCGAGAUGAGUUCUCCCUGAGACUUUAAGUCUCCUGAAGGAACGUUGAAGACGACGACGUUGAUAGGCCGGGUGUGUAAGCGCAGCGAUGCGUUGAGCUAACCGGUACUAAUGAACCGUGAGGCUUAACCUUACAACGCCGAAG
This 2770-nucleotide ribosomal RNA is filed under the name Klebsiella pneumoniae. RNAcentral describes it as "bacterial LSU rRNA". It matches the Rfam family "Bacterial large subunit ribosomal RNA". The record is from RNAcentral. Lineage: Bacteria; Pseudomonadati; Pseudomonadota; Gammaproteobacteria; Enterobacterales; Enterobacteriaceae.